Molecule: transfer RNA, 72 nt
Filed under: Myotis lucifugus (little brown bat)
Lineage: Eukaryota; Metazoa; Chordata; Mammalia; Chiroptera; Vespertilionidae
Rfam family: tRNA
About the family: Transfer RNA (tRNA) molecules are approximately 80 nucleotides in length. Their secondary structure includes four short double-helical elements and three loops (D, anti-codon, and T loops).
Source: Rfam by way of RNAcentral
GCUGAUUUGGCUCAGUGGAUAGAGCAUCAGCCUGUGGACUGAAGGGUCCCGGGUUCAAUUCCCAAGUCAGGA